GGGAGCGGAGCCAGAGAGAGAGAAAAGGAGAGAAAAGUUUCCCGGAGUCUUCAUUAGUUGACUUCUCUGUCCACUGCUUCCCCCAGCCGGCCGAGCUCACCCCUAAUAAAGGAAGGAGGGGGGGUGUCUUUAUUUUUUUUUUAAGGCCCCAAAGAGUCCAAUGUUUACAAGACCAAAAAUGCCACGGCCACGUCCUGGCAGAAAGAAAGGCUGAAAUGGAGGACUGACGCCUUCCUUAUAAGCUCAUUGGGGCCUGAGCCAGUACCAACCUGGUAGAAAAAGCAACCAUGAAGCCAGAGAGAGAGCCAAAGGAGGGAAGAGAGCGCCAGAUGGAGAUGAAAAGGAACCACGCGGAGAAAUGCAGGGAAAGAAGGAGGUGGCAGGUUCCGGAACAGAUAUGGCAGAGGGCAAGACAGGCACUCAUGGACAGAGGUUUAUGUAUUUUUAUUAAACAAUUUUUUAAAAUUGGGGGCUCAGUGAAGAGAAGGGACAACUCAGGAAAGGGGAGGGGAGAGGGAAUUAUUCGAGUCACAGCGUGACCACCCCAGAAGGGGAGAACACUGGAUACACCAGAUCCUCGGUGAUCCUCGGUGCUGGUGCUGGAGCAGCACUGGGCUCGCUCUGGUUCCGAUUUGCCGCCGUGGCACAGCCCGUUGGGCUGGGCUAUCGAGGCCCCCCUCUCGGCCACCAGGGCUUCCUCGCUCUCCUUAUCAUUCCAUCUUUAUGAUGAGGCUUGUUAACAAGACCAGCGAGCUGGCCACGCACAUCUAUCUCUGCCGGCUCGAGCUCAGCCAAGCAGCGGCCGGCGGGGGCGGGGUGGGGGGGGACUGGUGAGGCACUAAUUAAUUGAUUUCUUUGGACAGUAAAGCAUGGCCGCAUCUACAUGGAACCUAUCGACUCAUAAACAAUAUCUCUGUUGGGUGUGAAUGUAUUAUCUCUCAAAGAAUUUUUCUAUAGGCGUGUGUCAUGUAGUCCAGGAUUUUUAGCUGCUAAAGAAAGACCCAAGUGGGACUCAUUUUUAGGGGGCCAGAUCGGAGUUAGCUCAGCUCCACAAAAUACAUUAAGUUAUGACUGCCUCUGAAAAAGCGUUGGGAAUGGGUUUUGCUGAGAAAAACUUGGGUUAUUGGAUAACCUUUCCCAGUUGCUUGUGUAGACCCGGCCAAGGUUAAGGAUGGGAACUGGAGUCGAGGAGCUGGGCAGGCCGGAGUCCUCUUCCUGGUCGUCUGGGACAGAGUGGGGCUGCUCUCGGAUUUGAGAGGAGCAUAGAAGACAAGGUCCAGCCUUUACCUCAUACUGCUCCCUGGACUUGAGUUUUUAAAGUAAAUUUUAAAAAGGUUAAACAAACCUUAGCUUUCAAGAAGCCCUUGCAUGCCCAGCACACAGCCGGAACCUUCCUGUUACACACCUCACCUGGCUGCUGCGCUUCCUUCUUUCCCCCUUUCCUAACUGGCAGCUCAGAGUAACUAUAUUUAUAUUAGAUCUAGAAGAACACAUCCUGAGACAGAAGCAGUAACAUAAUUAUACAAUGCUAAUUCCAUACAGGAGUGAUUAUGCAGUCAGACCCUGUCAAACAGGACCUAGGGCUCUAAAUAUAGACCCUGACCUCAGACAAGAGAAGCAACAGUUAAAUAGAGAUAGAAGACCACUCAUAUCAAUAAUCCAUGUAGACACAGAAGAGGGUUUGUAAAAGACAGAAAUAAUAGAAAUACAGGACAGAAAAGAGGUUCAGCUGAUAGAGAAUGUCAUUGCCAGUGCCUGAGCUUCCUCCUGCUACUGUUUUUAAGAUUGCCAGAGAAAUGUGUAUUAUAAAUAUAGUAAUAUGUGAAAUCAAAGUAUGUACUUCAAUGUAUUUGGUACACAUAUACCAUGUAUACAAACAUAAUUCACAGAAUAUAUUUUUCAUACACUGGGUUGAUAGGCACUUUGUGUAUAUAUAAUAACAUGAUGUAUAUUUUCCAUGCAGUUUUUUAACGUGGAUAUAUUAAUAUAUGGAUGCAUUGUCCAUGUACUGAUUUUAUAUGCCCUUCGGAGUGUAUACAUCCAUGUAGCUAAAUAGAUGUAGGACUGUACCUUCCCUGCGCAGGAUGUGUGCAAGUGUACUGUUUAAUCUAUGUAAAUGAAUUUUUACAUGUGAUGGGUAUACAUGCUAUAUGUAAUCUUUUCCCAGGAGGUUGUUUUCCCAUACAAUAGAUAAGAGUGCCUCCAUAUGUAUAUUUUCUAGAGAAAUAUAUUUUCCAUGCCCAGAAUGUACAUGUAAUAUAGAUCUCUGU
Non-coding RNA from Kogia breviceps (pygmy sperm whale), 2270 nucleotides. The record is from RefSeq and is a predicted model, not a curated record. Lineage: Eukaryota; Metazoa; Chordata; Mammalia; Artiodactyla; Physeteridae.